AGCGAACGCUGGCGGUAGGCCUAACACAUGCAAGUCGAACGGCAGCACAGUAAGAGCUUGCUCUUACGGGUGGCGAGUGGCGGACGGGUGAGGAAUACAUCGGACUCUACUUUUUCGUGGGGGAUAACGUAGGGAAACUUACGCUAAUAUCGCAUACGACCUACGGGUGAAAGCAGGGGAUCUUCGCACCUUGCGCGAUUGAAUGAGCCGAUGUCGGAUUAGCUAGUUGGCGGGGUAAAGGCCCACCAAGGCGACGAUCCGUAGCUGGUCUGAGAGGAUGGUCAGCCGCACUGGAAGUGAGACACGGUCCAGACUCCUACGGGAGGCAGCAGUGGGGAAUAGUGGACAAUGGGCGCAAGCCUGAUCCAGUCAUACCGCGUGGGUGAAGAAGGCCUUCGGGGUGUAAAGCCCUUUUGUUGGGAAAGAAAAGCAGCAGGUUAAUACCCCGCUGUUCUGACGGUACCCAAAGAAUAAGCACCGGCUAACUUCGUG
RNAcentral lists this ribosomal RNA (492 nucleotides) under uncultured bacterium. RNAcentral describes it as "partial 16S ribosomal RNA". It matches the Rfam family "Bacterial small subunit ribosomal RNA", at positions 29 to 507 of the family's 1533-position model. The record is from RNAcentral.